RNAcentral lists this ribosomal RNA (496 nucleotides) under uncultured bacterium. RNAcentral describes it as "partial 16S ribosomal RNA". It matches the Rfam family "Bacterial small subunit ribosomal RNA", at positions 30 to 523 of the family's 1533-position model. The record is from RNAcentral.
AUUGAACGCCGGCGGAAUGCUUUACACAUGCAAGUCGAACGGUAGAGGGGGCAACCCCUCGAGAGUGGCGAACGGGUGAGUAAUAUAUCGGAACGUGCCCAGUCGUGGGGGAUAACGUAGCGAAAGUUACGCUAAUACCGCAUACGAUCUAAGGAUGAAAGCGGGGGAUCGCAAGACCUCGCGCGAUUGGAGCGGCCGAUAUCAGAUUAGGUAGUUGGUGGGGUAAAGGCUCACCAAGCCAACGAUCUGUAGCUGGUCUGAGAGGACGACCAGCCACACUGGAACUGAGACACGGUCCAGAAUCCUACGGGAGGCAGCAGUGGGGAAUGUUGGACAAUGGACGCAAGUCUGUUCCAGCCAUUCCGCGUGCAGGAUGAAGGCCCUCGGGUUGUAAACUGCUUUUGUACGGAACGAAAAGGUCUCUCUUAAUACGGGGGGCUCAUGACGGUACCGCAAGAAUAAGCACCGGCUAACUACGUGCCAGCCGCCGCGGUAA